RNAcentral lists this long non-coding RNA (6427 nucleotides) under Trifolium pratense (red clover). RNAcentral's name for it is "long non-coding RNA (TPRA_LNC003360)". Lineage: Eukaryota; Viridiplantae; Streptophyta; Magnoliopsida; Fabales; Fabaceae. The record is from RNAcentral.
AAGAGAUAUUUUAUAUUAGUUCUAAAUGUUCAUGUUUACUUCUAACAUAUAUAAAUGUUAAAAACUAUGUAACUUGUGUAAAGAAAGCUUGAGCUUUAUACAUUAUUAUAAAGUUAUCAAAACAUAUUCUAUUUGUUAUAUGCAAAGGGGAAAAUAUAUUGGUGGACUUAUGAAGUUUAUUUAUGUUAUGAUCUACUUUCUUUCCCUAUUUCAUGUUGCAACAAGCGCUAACCGUAAGCCAUUUUUCAUUCUUCUAAAAUGUUCUUAUUUACUUCUAACAUAUAUAUAUAUAUAUAUGAAUUUAAUUUAUAUGCACCGUCAGUGUAAAGUUAUUUUGCACAUUCGUCCAAUAAUAUAACGACACAUCAUGUAUGGUAAUUAAAAACACAUGAUGUGUCACAUUCAUUAAGUGAUGUGGCAACGCGUCAUUGAAUGUAUGUGUAAAAAACUUUUACACCUUUAAUUAAUAAUAACAUUCUUGUGUUAUAAUUUUCAUUACAGUUGAUUGUCGUAAUGACGGUGACUGUAUACAUAUUAAGUGUAAGUCUGGUUGGGUUGCGAAGUGUACUGCUACUCAUUGGUGUAACUGUAUUCCUCCAUCUGGAUCUGCACAUCCUUGGAGAACAAGACCCAAGAGAGUGCAAAAACAAAUUAUAGGGGAAAAUGAUUUAUGGCACUAGAAAAAGAUCUAUGAAACUUCGUUUAAGAUAAAAUAUACCAUAUAAUAAGUCAGUUAAUACUUGUAUUUGUGUUAUGAGAGUGGAAGACUAUGUAGAUAAUAUUAAAAUUGCAACAUGAAAUAAAUAAUAGUAUCUAGAUUGUCUUCCACUCUUAAUUUUUUCGAUUGUAACUAAAAAUAUGCUAUUUUAUUUACUUUCUAUGAUUGUAGGAUGAUGAAUAAUUUGGCAAAUAUUGUAUCAAAAUACUUUAAGUAAUAAAAAAAUAUGUAUUCACGGGAGAUUGUUUCAAUUCCGACAAAACAAUUAUAUUAUAUUUAAGAUGUAAAUGUUGGGGGGUAAUGCUGAGCAUAUAUUGAUUUAUGAGAGAAAAUACUAAAAAUUGGUGGUACUGAUUUAAUUAUCAGAGUGUGUGAAGGUACUGCCCCUCCUUCACAACGGGUACAACCACCAACGAUCCAAAUAAAUGAUUGAUAUUUACAACCUACCAUCCAGAUCUUAGGUCCGCAGAGAAUCAAUAUUAAUUAACAAUAUAUUUUUAUGUUACUUUAUAUUUAUCAAAUAGUUCGAUUGUACUGCCGUGUACGAGUUCCACUGUCUCUACACCAUGUUGAUUGUUUCGUCGUUGGUAGUUUUUGCUCUGCCGAUUUCUCUCUUCCCGUCUGAUAUCUCACAUAUCAACUCCCUCCGUCUCUUCUCUAUGUAAGCGGUUACAUUGUGCAAAACAAGUGGUGGAGAGAGGAUAGUAAAAGAAAAGGAAUUGAUCAUGUGAUUCAAACUAUAAAUAAGUUUGUAUUUCGUAAGUAUUGAUUAUAUGAGAAAGAAAUUCAUAACUCAAUUAUUAUGACAUAAAUAUCUGCAAUCUGAAUCGUUAAUAUAAGAGAUUAUAACAAGUUGUGUAAUCUUCAAAAAUGAAAAGGUGAAUAUAUUAGUAAAUUGCUAAUAUUUUCAAUUCAAUGAAAAUGGAAGCACCAAUGCUGAAAGUGACGGUUAAAAGCUACCUAAAAUCAAUUUAAAAUAACAUUAAAUACAAAAAUUCUGAACUGUCAUCGACAAGCUGCCUGGCAAAUGACAAGUGAGAAUUCAGUUUAUCAAUCAGAAGAAAUAAACUUAUGCUUAUUAGAGCAUUUAAAAUGGAGAUACUCAUUUCUGAGUACUUAACUGGACCCCAAGUUGUACACAUCACUCAUUUUUAAUUUAUUAAUAAUAGUACCUAAUAAGUAUCCAAUCCCACCAACCCAACAUCUAUUGAAAAGUUCUAAAUAGGCCCUACUAAUAACACAUCUCACCAAUAACUAUACAUCAUUAUAAAUGGGACCCACAAAAACAAAACAGGUACUAAUGCUUAUUGUAGAACCAGUACCUAUUAGGUACUCAAAUGAACAUUGUUUCAAUGGUAGUACCUAAUAAGUAUCAUGAGUACCUAAUAAGUACGUACUACAUCAUUGGAGAUGGUCUUAUAUGACGUUUAUACACAUUCAAAAUUUUACUGUAGUAUAUAAAUUAUACUAUCUAUAAAAAGCUAAAAGUCAUUUGCUAAAGGUCAAAGAUCAUUCUCUUCAUUAUCAUUGAUAUAGAAACAAUCAAGAUUAGUUUGCAGAUGGAAAGAGACUAAACAUUGAAAAUAAAAUUAAUAACACGAGAUCCUCAAAUGAUAUCUUAAUGUACUUGACAACAAUAGUGAUCUUAGAAGAAUAUUUCUCCUUUCGACCCCACUCCGAGAGGUUGCUUAACGCAAGGCAAUGAUCCAACGGUUAAGAGUUUAGUCCAGGACUCCUUCAUACCAAAUUCACCUAAAAUUGAUAUGUGAAAAGUUGUAUCUUCAUGAUAUGAGAACAAUGCAAUUGACCUAUUUAACAAUGCCAAGUUUAUCCAUGAUGUUUCAUCAAAUUCAAAAUAAUCAUCAUCUGAGGGUAUGGGUGUUAUGAAGAAUUCCCCAUUGCUUAAGUAAAAUGACACCACACAUUGUUCAUCUGGUCUAUCUUCAAAACAAAACCAAUGACACACCCCAUCCAUGUAGACUUGAGUUCCCUCUAUGUAAUCUGAAGAAUACGGCAUGUCAAAAACAUCAAGUUUCUUCCAAGAGUUACUUCUUAAGCUAUAUAUCUCCCAAAAGGGAUAUAAAUCUACAUAUUCCAACUCCUCUAUAGAUAUAUAUCCGUAACCAACAUGUUCGCCUGUAAUAGAUACAUAUCUGUUGGAUAUUCCGCCUUCAUUGCGGUCCGCCCCCAUCCGCCUAAUUGCGGCAUUUGAGUUGCCUUCAUUGCAGCCUCCAACACCUUCAUUGUGUUGGGUGUGAAGGGGUGGAUUUAGUCCCACAUUGCUANNNNNNNNNNNNNNNNNNNNNNNNNNNNNNNNNNNNNNNNNNNNNNNNNNNNNNNNNNNNNNNNNNNNNNNNNNNNNNNNNNNNNNNNNNNNNNNNNNNNNNNNNNNNNNNNNNNNNNNNNNNNNNNNNNNNNNNNNNNNNNNNNNNNNNNNNNNNNNNNNNNNNAGGAGAAUGAUCCCAACUUUACCAAAUGGGAUGAGGAAGAUUCAAGGAUCAUGGCAUGGCUGUGGAACUCCAUGGAUCCGGACAUCAGUGACACGUGCAUGUUUCUAAGUACAGCAAAGGAGAUUUGGGAUGCUAUGGAGGAAAGUUAUUCCAAAGCCAAAGAUGCUGCUCAAGUGUAUGAAGUAAAGGUGAAAACUUUGGCAGCAAAGCAAGGAAACAGAACUGUCACUGAUUAUGCCAAUCAGCUAAAGGCACUAUGGAUGGAACUUGAUCAUUAUAGGGUCAUAAAGACUCGGUGCUCUGCAGAUUCAGCAAUUCUGAAGAAGUUCAUUGAGCAAGACAGGGUGUAUGACUUUCUGGUUGGUUUGAACUCUGAAUUUGACCAAGUUAGAAUUCAAAUAUUGGGAAAACAGGAAGUUCCAAGCUUUAAUGAAGUGAUAGCCAUUGUGAGAAGCGAAGAAAGCAGAAGGAGUCUGAUGUUAGACACUCCAAUAAUUGAGAAUUCAGCUAUGAUGGCUGAUCUUAACAAAGGAGAGGAUACAACAAUGAGUGUUGACCGAAGAAAGGGAGAAUCAACAAAUAUUGAGAGGAAAGGUGAUGAUACUCGGUGUACCUAUUGUCACAAGCCUCGUCAUAUUAGGGAAAAUUGCUGGAAGUUGCAUGGAAAACCACAAAAUAGAGAUAAAGCAUNNNNNNNNNNNNNNNNNNNNNNNNNNNAAUGAAGAAUUUUUUGAGUAAACUAGAGAAACCAUCAGGUUCCAGCUCCUUGGCAUAUUCAGGUAAACUUUUAUCUCUUAAUUAUGAUAAGCUUCCAAUUUCUUUUGGAUUAAAUGUCUCAGAUGCAUCCUUUAACCACUGUUGGAUAUUAGACUCCGGAGCCACUGACCACAUGACACCUUUACCUCGCCAUUUUUGUACCUAUUCUCCGUGUCCAAGCAACAAGAAAAUUGCCACUGCUGACGGCACUCUUAUAACUGUUGCUGGCCAAGGGGAUGUACAAAUUAAUCAUUCAAUGACCCUAAAAAAUGUUCUCCAUAUUCCAAAAUUAGCUAUUAACCUGAUAUCAAUACAGAAACUCACACAAGACUUGUCAUGUAAUGUUAUUUUUCAUAACCAUGAUUGUGUGUUACAGGACAAGAUUUCGGGGAGGACGAUUGGACAUGCUAGAGAAUGGAUUGGCCUUUACUAUCUAGAAAAUCCUGAUUUAUUUUCCAAGAAAGACUUACCGCAUUCCCUCAUUUCUGUUUUGACAAACAAGGAAAAAAUUCUCCUUUAUCAUUGUCGUUUAGGACAUCCUUCCUUCCAAAUAAUAAAAAUGUUAUUUCCUUCUUUUUUCUCUAAGUUAGAUGUUGAGAGUCUUCAUUGUGAGGUGUGUGAGCUUGCUAAACACAAGUGUGUAUCAUUUCCAAUGAGCAAUAAAAUAAGUACUUUUCCUUUUUAUCUUGUGACCUUAAAACAUUUAGGGUAUUUAGGUGAAUUCUUAACAUCUCUUAGAAAUAACGAACUAGGAAACUAAAUUUGUAGAUCUAUGUAAAACCCUUAAUUUCAGGGACGGAACUAGAAAAAUUCAUCUAAGGUGGCAAAAAUUUAACACAUUAUAAAUUACAUCAUCGGUCACUUAUUUGUACUAUUAAUAAUUUUAAAUAAGUUUUUUUAAAUUUUUAAAAUAUCAAUAUAGCAUAUAAAAAUUAAUUCUAGUUUUUUUGUCAAGUAAUCUAAUCGCUAAAAUUUCACAUUUUUAAGGUGAAUAGACUUUAGUAAAAAAAAACAAAGGUGAAUAAGCUGAGUGUCGGGGUGUCCGGAGUUUAAACCCCAACUAUUACAUAUAUAAUAUGAUAUUUCUAUCAACUAAACUUACCAGAUUAAUCUCUAUUUUAUCUUCUAAUUUAAAAUAAAGUAACCAAAAUUGACUAUUUAUUAUUUACACUACAAUGGCCAAAAAUCAAGUGGUGGCAAAUGACAAUGGACUGCUUCGGUCAGUUUUUGUCUUAGGGGAGGUAUAUAUAAAAUGAAAUCAUUGUUAUUUUACGGUAGUUACUAGUUUAUAAGUGUCAUUGUUUAUUGCAGGGGGCGAACACUUAUUUUUUGUCAGUAUAUGAACAAGGGCGAAUACCAUGUAUAUAAGUGGUAUACAAUAGUAUCAUGUAUGUUUAAGGGUGGCGACCGCCACCUUUGAAACAUACCUAGUUCCGUCCCUGCUUAAUUUUGUGGUUUGUUCUUGGAUGCAAACCACGAUUUAAAUCUUUCCUACCAUAUUCUAGCAGGAAACAAUAAAGCAAAGUACAAAGAAAAGAAGAAUGUAAUUUACCUUUGAACAAAGCAGUGAAGAAGCUGCCAACGGGGAAACACUUGAAGCUACCAUAUUCAACCACAUAACCUCCCCAUUGGAGCAAAUCUCGUUCUGGCCAUUCAGAGAAAUUUUAAAACAAAAAGUCAUUUUCGAAAAGAUUCAAAAAAUCCAAUUCAAAACUCCUUUCUUAUAUUUUUCACAAGUUUGGAAGGUAUACAUGGUCAAACAAUACCAUUAAUAUUUUUUUCAAUAUCAUCAAAGGUUAAAACAUAUAAAUUAUGUCUAAGAGAUAUUUUAUAUUAGUUCUAAUUAAUUAAUUUAGGAAUAUUUUAUGUUUACAAUUCUAUAAAAACAAUCAAUGAUGACUCUCUUUGCAAUUCUAUAAGUGUGUUAUAAAGUUAUCAAAUCAUACUCUAUUUGUUAUAUGCAAAGGGGAAAAUAUAUUGCUAGAUUUAUGAAGUUUAUUUAUGUUAUGAUCUAUUUUCUUUUCUUAUUUCUUGUUGCAACAAAAAGUAAACGUAAGCCAUUUUUCAUUCUUCUAAAAUGUUCUUAUUUACUUCUAACAUAUAUUCCCCUUUAAUUAAUAAUAACAUUCUUGUUUUAUAAUUAUAAUUACAGUUGACUGUCGUAAUGACCUUGAUUGUAAAGAUAUUAAGUGUAAGCCUGGUUGGGUUGCACAAUGUAGUGUUACUAAUCGAUGUAGAUGUGUUCCUUCAUCUAAACCUGGAUCUGGACAUCCUUGGAGAACAAGACCCAAGAAAGUGCACAAAUUUUUUAUGAGAGUGGAAGACGAUGAUUUAUAGCACUAGCAAAAGAUCUAUUAAACCUUGUUUAGGAUAAUAAGUCAUUUAAUACUUGUAUUUGUGUUAUGAGAGUGGAAGACGAUGUAGAUAAUAUUAAAAUUGCAACAUGAAAUAAAUAAUAAAUAAUAUUAUUUACAUUGUCUUUCAUUCUCUUAGUUUCUCCGAU